This 396-nucleotide ribosomal RNA is filed under the name uncultured bacterium. Its description in RNAcentral is "bacterial SSU rRNA". It matches the Rfam family "Bacterial small subunit ribosomal RNA", at positions 367 to 758 of the family's 1533-position model. The record is from RNAcentral.
UUCAGACGGGGGGACCCUGACCGCAAUGCCGCGUGAGUGAAGAAGGCCUUCGGGUUGUAAAGCUCUUUUGUCAGGGAAGAAACACCGGCUCUAACACAGUCCGGGAAUGACGGUACCUGAAGAAUAAGCACCGGCUAACUACGUGCCAGCAGCCGCGGUAAUACGUAGGGUGCAAGCGUUAAUCGGAAUUACUGGGCGUAAAGCGUGCGCAGGCGGUUAUACAAGACAGGCGUGAAAUCCCCGGGCUUAACCUGGGAAUGGCGCCUGUGACUGUAUAGCUAGAGUGUGUCAGAGGGGGGUAGAAUUCCACGUGUAGCAGUGAAAUGCGUAGAUAUGUGGAGGAAUACCAAUGGCGAAGGCAGCCCCCUGGGAUAACACUGACGCUCAUGCACGAAA